RNAcentral lists this unclassified non-coding RNA (345 nucleotides) under soil metagenome. RNAcentral describes it as "partial contains 5.8S ribosomal RNA, internal transcribed spacer 2, and large subunit ribosomal RNA". The stretch from base 1 to 120 matches the Rfam family "5.8S ribosomal RNA", at positions 35 to 154 of the family's 154-position model. The record is from RNAcentral.
GAUGAAGAACGCAGCGAAAUGCGAUACGUAAUGUGAAUUGCAGAAUUCAGUGAAUCAUCGAGUCCUUGAACGCACAUUGCGCCCUCUGGUAUUCCGGAGGGCAUGCCUGUCCGAGCGUCAUUGCUGCCCUCAAGCACGGCUUGUGUGUUGGGCCCCGCCCCCCGAUCCCGGGGGGCGGGCCCGAAAGGCAGCGGCGGCACCGCGUCCGGUCCUCGAGCGUAUGGGGCUUUGUCACCCGCUCUGUAGGCCCGGCCGGCGCCUGCCGAUCAACCAAACUUUUUUCCAGGUUGACCUCGGAUCAGGUAGGGAUACCCGCUGAACUUAAGCAUAUCAAUAAGCGGAGGA